RNAcentral lists this ribosomal RNA (273 nucleotides) under uncultured Ambispora. RNAcentral describes it as "partial 28S ribosomal RNA". The record is from RNAcentral. Lineage: Eukaryota; Fungi; Glomeromycota; Glomeromycetes; Archaeosporales; Ambisporaceae.
AGUCAUGCCGGUGGGAAAUCAGCCUCUCGGGAAACCUGGGGGUGCACUUUCUCGCAGGGCAGGUCAGCGUCAGUUUCGCCAGUCGUAAAAAGUCCGUCGGAAUGUGACUCCUUUCGGAGUGUUAUAGCCAGCGGUCAAUGCGACGUGCGGGAUUGAGGAUUGCAGCGGGUGCCUUUCGGGGCUAAGUGCCUGAUCCUUGUUCGUGGUCGUCUUGGUAACAGCGUGCUGGUGCCGAGCCCGAUUCGUGGACACGGGGUUUAGCGUCACGGUAAA